AGCAGCCGCGGUAAUUCCAGCUCCAAUAGCGUAUAUUAAAGUUGUUGCAGUUAAAAAGCUCGUAGUUGAAUUUCGGGAUUGACACAUCGGUCGUGCCUUAAGGGGUAUGAACUGGUGUAGUCAAUUUCUCACCUUCUGGAGAACCGGGAUGCCCUUAAUUGGGUGUCGCGGGGAACCAGGACCUUUACUUUGAAAAAUUAGAGUGUUUAAAGCAGGCAUUUUGCUUGAAUACAUUAGCAUGGAAUAAUAAAAUAGGACGGCAUGAUUCUAUUUUGUUGGUUUCUAGGAUCACCGUAAUGAUUAAUAGGGAUAGUUGGGGGCAUUAGUAUUCAAUUGUCAGAGGUGAAAUUCUUGGAUUUAUUGAAGACUAACUACUGCGAAAACAUUUGCCAAGGAUGUUUUCAUUAAUCAAGAACGAAAGUUAGGGGAUCGAAGACGAUCAGAUACCGUCGUAGUCUUAACCAUAAACUAUGCCGACUAGGAAUCAGACGAUGUUAAUUUUUAUGACUCGUUUGGCACC
RNAcentral lists this ribosomal RNA (520 nucleotides) under uncultured Glomeromycotina. Its description in RNAcentral is "SSU rRNA". It matches the Rfam family "Eukaryotic small subunit ribosomal RNA", at positions 569 to 1087 of the family's 1831-position model. The record is from RNAcentral. Lineage: Eukaryota; Fungi; Glomeromycota.